CAAAGGCUUAGUCCUGGCUUUACUGUCGGCCCUAGCUUAAUUUACACAUGCAAGUAUCCGCACCCCCGUGAGAAUGCCCUGUAGUUUCCCGCCCGGAGACUGGGAGCCGGUAUCAGGCACAUCUACUUAGCCCAUGACACCUAGCCAAGCCACGCCCUCAAGGGUAUUCAGCAGUGAUAGACUUUUAGCCAUAAGUGAAAACUUGACUUAGUUAAAGCUAAGAGGGCCGGUAAACCUCGUGCCAGCCACCGCGGUUAGACGAGAGGCCCAAGUUGACAGCCCCGGCGUAAAGAGUGGUUAAGGAAUGACCUAAACUAAAGCCGAACAUUUUCAGCGCUGUUAUACGCCUUCGAAAACAAGAAGCUCAACUACGAAAGUGGCUUUACACACCCCGAACCCACGAAAGCUAUGGCACAAACUGGGAUUAGAUACCCCACUAUGCUUAGCCCUAAACACUGAUAGCCUUAUACAUCUGCUAUCCGCCUGGUAAUUACGAGCAUCAGCUUAAAACCCAAAGGACUUGGCGGUGCUUUAGACCCACCUAGAGGAGCCUGUCCUAGAACCGAUAAUCCCCGUUAAACCUCACCUUUCCUUGUUUAUUCCGUCUAUAUACCGCCGUCGUCAGCUUACCCCCUGAAGGACCUAUCGUAAGCAAAAUUGGCACAGCCCAGAACGUCAGGUCGAGGUGUAGCGUAUGGAAAGGGAAGAGAUGGGCUACAUUCCCUAAUAAAGCGAAUACGAACGAUGUUUCUGAAACGAUCAUACUGAAGGAGGAUUUAGCAGUAAGCAGAAAACAAAGUGUUCUGCUGAAGCCGGCCCUGAAGCGCGCACAUACCGCCCGUCACUCUCCCCAAAACCCCAAAAUAACCUUAACUAAAACAAGAGAAUCCAGAAGGGGAGGCAAGUCGUAACAUGGUAAGUGUACCGGAAGGUGUACUUGGUCAAAC
Molecule: non-coding RNA, 947 nt
Filed under: Percilia irwini
Lineage: Eukaryota; Metazoa; Chordata; Actinopteri; Centrarchiformes; Percichthyidae
Description: 12S ribosomal RNA
Rfam family: Bacterial small subunit ribosomal RNA
Source: RNAcentral